UCCUGGCUCAGGAUGAACGCUAGCUACAGGCUUAACACAUGCAAGUCGAGGGGCAGCAUUGGGAUAGCUUGCUAUUCAGAUGGCGACCGGCGCACGGGUGAGUAACGCGUAUCCAACCUUCCUGCCAGUAGGGAACAGCCCGGCGAAAGUCGGAUUAAUGCCCUAUGUUCUUCAAUGCGGACAUCUAAGUUGAAGGAAAGAUUCAUCGCUGGCAGAUGGGGAUGCGUCCGAUUAGCUUGCCGGCGGGGUAACGGCCCACCGGGGCGACGAUCGGUAGGGGUUCUGAGAGGAAGGUCCCCCACACUGGUACUGAGACACGGACCAGACUCCUACGGGAGGCAGCAGUGAGGAAUAUUGGUCAAUGGGCGUAAGCCUGAACCAGCCAAGUAGCGUGCAGGAAUGACGGCCCUACGGGUUGUAAACUGCUUUUAUGCGGGGAUAAAGUGCGGCACGUGUGCCGCUUUGCAGGUACCGCAUGAAUAAGGACCGGCUAAUUCCGUGCCAGCAGCCGC
RNAcentral lists this ribosomal RNA (512 nucleotides) under uncultured bacterium. Its description in RNAcentral is "bacterial SSU rRNA". It matches the Rfam family "Bacterial small subunit ribosomal RNA", at positions 17 to 518 of the family's 1533-position model. The record is from RNAcentral.